Molecule: small RNA, 1027 nt
Filed under: Cryptococcus neoformans H99
Lineage: Eukaryota; Fungi; Basidiomycota; Tremellomycetes; Tremellales; Cryptococcaceae
Description: Cryptococcus neoformans var. grubii H99 hypothetical RNA
Source: RNAcentral
AAAAGGAAGAGCUCGGCUGGCCUUAAAAUAUUUGCUCGAGUUCUUGUUCUACUGCAACACCUUCGCAGCUCAUAUGCCAUCACUCUAUGGAACGGCGGCAUGUGAAUUGUACUAGUACUGUACAAGACCAAGGGUUAGCCUGGAGCGUGAGAUGAUGGGGCAGCAACAAUAAUAAUCCGCCGGCGAUCCGGCGAUCCGGCGGCGGCUGUGGGCUGUGGCUUCCUUUGCAGGAACGCGAAUGGAACGAAAGAUUGCGUGCACGGUUCUCGGUGGUCCGCCUAUUUCGGCAUUGGGCACGUCCUUGGUUGCUACUAAUUAUUCAUUAUUCCGUCCAUUCGAAAAAAAGAAAUCGACGCCUGAAGCUUUUUUAGUGCAGCAGAAAGCCCAUCAUCUUUCGCUCGGACAUUUGUAUGGCGUCUAGGCAGCCUCUUCCCUAUGCGUGCAGUUUGUCGUACUAGUACCUGACAGCUGCGCAUGGACAAGCCCAAUUUGGAGUCGUAGUAUGUAGUAGAUACGAGCUCCAUGGCGACGCAGCAGUACACAGUACCGAUGACCCUUUAGUGUUGUUGAUGAGAAUAACAACGCUUCAACGUUCAAUUGGCGCUAUGCCAUCUUGAGUGAUUCAUAGUACUCAUAGCCCAUUAACCAUCAUGCUGUUCUCUGUUCGACUUCUUACUUGUGUUUACUUCGUUGACUGAUGUCAGAUAGAGGGCUUGGGCAGCGGCCGCUCUGUCCUGCUAAAAGAUAUGCAGUCCAGACAGGGUUAAAAACCUGUGACAUGAAUAGAGACUCUACGUAGUGAAAAGCAUUAUAGCAGAACGUAUAGCAUGGGUCGCAUUGCGCAUUGUGCAUCAAUCAACGCAGAAUCAACAACAUGCUUUCAUACUAUAUGUUGCAUCGACAGGACUCAAAAAAUUCCUGACUGCUGCAUGAUGAGUAUUAAGAUGUAUAGUCUGUGCCAAUUAUACAAUUCACCCCAUACAUAUAUUAUUAACCCCCCUGUAUCAGUUACCAGCUUCCAUGAUGC